CAUGUGUGGACACACCAAGCCUCUGUGCUCCACCUCCUUGUGAUCUGGCAACCCCACAACUGGCAAAUCUAACAAGCAAACAAUCAACUCUCCAAUCUGCACCGACUAGACCUCCAGCUAAUCUUCUAUGGCUGAAGUAAUAAUUUCAGCCUCCCUAGAUACAACAGAUCCCUCCAACUGGUACAAACAACUCCUCAAUCUCCUCCCUCUCAUCACAAUCC
RNAcentral lists this long non-coding RNA (221 nucleotides) under Elaeis guineensis (African oil palm). Its description in RNAcentral is "long non-coding RNA (EGUI_LNC027714)". Lineage: Eukaryota; Viridiplantae; Streptophyta; Magnoliopsida; Arecales; Arecaceae. The record is from RNAcentral.